ACUGCAGCCAAUCUACACUGCAUGGACCCAUAUGGCUAGAGACCAUGUAUGUGUGCAGUCAAACUACAAUAACCUCACUGUGAGUAACCGAAGCACCGCAGGUCAAAGGACCAGUCACACUACUGCAACAUCAAGCAAGUCACUGACGAGUGGAUAGACAUCCAAGUGACUUCUUGUCUUGGUCACGCUCAGUACCCUUGUUCUCUAACAAGCACCUGCACUAUCACUUCAGUGUCCCUACACUGUGGACUCAAGUCUCGUCCAUCCAGAAGGAAAGUGAUCUGUGCACUGAUCGGAUCGAUCACCGUCCUCGUGAUGAUCCAUUGAUCAGGAGCAUUUAGCAAUUAAUCACCAAUGAUACAUGGCUCAAAUUCUCAACUCUUGAGAAUAUGUAUCAUCAUCUUAUUAAUUCCUUGGACGAUUCAUAGACACAUAAAUAAUAUGAAUGAAAAGAUGCCUUUUAUUUAUUCAAUAAUAAAUAGUCAAGUACAAAA
Molecule: long non-coding RNA, 494 nt
Filed under: Phoenix dactylifera (date palm)
Lineage: Eukaryota; Viridiplantae; Streptophyta; Magnoliopsida; Arecales; Arecaceae
Description: long non-coding RNA (PDAC_LNC017835)
Source: RNAcentral